RNAcentral lists this ribosomal RNA (543 nucleotides) under uncultured Glomeromycotina. RNAcentral's name for it is "SSU rRNA". It matches the Rfam family "Eukaryotic small subunit ribosomal RNA", at positions 555 to 1098 of the family's 1831-position model. The record is from RNAcentral. Lineage: Eukaryota; Fungi; Glomeromycota.
GCAAGUCUGGUGCCAGCAGCCGCGGUAAUUCCAGCUCCAAUAGCGUAUAUUAAAGUUGUUGCAGUUAAAAAGCUCGUAGUUGAAUUUCGGGAUCAAUAUUUCGGUCAUGCCGUUGGUAUGCACUGUUAUCAUUGAUUUCUCACCUUCUAAAGAACCAUAAUGCCAUUAAUUUGGUGUUACGGGGAAUUAGGACUGUUACCUUGAAAAAAUUAGAGUGUUUAAAGCAGGCUCACGCUUGGAUACAUUAGCAUGGAAUAAUGAAAUAGGACAUCCGAUUCUAUUUUGUUGGUUUCUAGGAUCGAUGUAAUGAUUAAUAGGGAUAGUUGGGGGCAUUAGUAUUCAAUUGUCAGAGGUGAAAUUCUUGGAUUUAUUGAAGACUAACUACUGCGAAAGCAUUUGCCAAGGAUGUUUUCAUUAAUCAAGAACGAAAGUUAGGGGAUCGAAGACGAUCAGAUACCGUCGUAGUCUUAACCAUAAACUAUGCCGACUAGGGAUCGGAUGAUGUUAAUUUUUUAAUGACUCAUUCGGCGCCUUACGGGAAAC